CUAACACAUGCGCGAGUCAGAGGCUCGAACGAAAGCCCGUGGCGCAAUGAAGGUGAGGGCCGGUGCAUGCCGGCUGAGGUGGGAUCCCAAGGCCACUGUUUGCGGUGGGCACACCACCAGCCCGUCUCAUCCACCCUGUUGGGGAGGCGGAGCAUGAGCGUAUGUACUAGGACCCGAAAGGUGGUGAACUAUGCCUGGGCAGGGCGAAGCCAGAGGAAACUCUGGUGGAGGUCAGUAGUGGUCCUGACAUGCAAAUCGGUCAUCCGACCUGGGUAAAGGGACAAAAGACUAAUCGAACCAUCUAGAAGCUGG
This is a ribosomal RNA of Alligator mississippiensis (American alligator), 312 nucleotides long. It matches the Rfam family "Eukaryotic large subunit ribosomal RNA", at positions 675 to 954 of the family's 3401-position model. NCBI's taxonomy places the organism in Eukaryota, Metazoa, Chordata, Crocodylia, Alligatoridae. The record is from Rfam.